AUCACUUCUCUCAGCCUUUUGGAUAAGAUCAAGUAUGGUAUCUGUUCUUAUAGGUUUAAUAUCUAAGGACAGGAUAUUAAAUGAAUUUUUGGAGCAGGGAGAUGGAAUAGGAGCUUGCUCCAUCCAUCCCACUCAUCACCCUGGUAUUGCAAUACUUCCAGAAAUAGUGCACCCUAA
RNAcentral lists this small nuclear RNA (177 nucleotides) under Sciurus vulgaris (Eurasian red squirrel). Its description in RNAcentral is "U2 spliceosomal RNA (ENSSVLG00005019290.1)". It matches the Rfam family "U2 spliceosomal RNA". From Rfam's summary of the family: U2 is a small nuclear RNA (snRNA) component of the spliceosome (involved in pre-mRNA splicing). Complementary binding between U2 snRNA (in an area lying towards the 5' end but 3' to hairpin I) and the branchpoint sequence (BPS) of the intron results the bulging out of an unpaired adenosine, on the BPS, which initiates a nucleophilic attack at the intronic 5' splice site, thus starting the first of two transesterification reactions that mediate splicing. Lineage: Eukaryota; Metazoa; Chordata; Mammalia; Rodentia; Sciuridae. The record is from Rfam by way of RNAcentral.